This 293-nucleotide ribosomal RNA is filed under the name uncultured bacterium. RNAcentral's name for it is "partial 16S ribosomal RNA". It matches the Rfam family "Archaeal small subunit ribosomal RNA", at positions 455 to 747 of the family's 1478-position model. The record is from RNAcentral.
GUGCCAGCCGCCGCGGUAAUACCGGCAGCUCAAGUGAUGUCCCAUAUUAUUGGGCCUAAAGCGUCCGUAGCUGGCCAGACAAGUCCGUUGGGAAAUCCACGCGCUCAACGCGUGGGCGUCCAGCGGAAACUGCCUGGCUUGGGGCCGGAGGACUCGAGGGGUACGUCCGGGGUAGGAGUGAAAUCCCGUAAUCCUGGACGGACCACCGGUGGCGAAAGCGCCUCGAGAGGACGGAUCCGACAGUGAGGGACGAAAGCCAGGGUCUCCUACCGGAUUAGAAACCCCAGUAGUCC